Molecule: transfer RNA, 85 nt
Filed under: Cordylochernes scorpioides
Lineage: Eukaryota; Metazoa; Arthropoda; Arachnida; Pseudoscorpiones; Chernetidae
Description: tRNA-Thr
Rfam family: tRNA (bases 8-65)
About the family: Transfer RNA (tRNA) molecules are approximately 80 nucleotides in length. Their secondary structure includes four short double-helical elements and three loops (D, anti-codon, and T loops).
Source: RNAcentral
AUAAUUAUAGCCUAGUGGUCAUGGCAUCUGCCCGGUAAGCGGAAGGUCGUGGGUUCGAUUCCCAUCCCAUGACACUUUUUUUAUU